Long non-coding RNA from Gasterosteus aculeatus aculeatus (three-spined stickleback), 1660 nucleotides. The record is from Ensembl. Lineage: Eukaryota; Metazoa; Chordata; Actinopteri; Perciformes; Gasterosteidae.
CACACACACCCCCAAACCCCCCCUGACAACACCCCCCUUCUUACUAGGAACAGAAGCAGGAUGAACCAGAAACUCCUAAACGGGCCUUUUUACUGCUUUCUCCCUGUCACCAUAGUAGACUGGCUUCUCUGGUUUCCCUUUGACAUGUGGUUGUAUGGAGUGCUAAUUUCUUGUUUCUUUUUUUUGCUAAGCCUGCGGCUUUUCCUGGUUUUUUCCUUUGAAUAUCUGUGUCUCAGUGGAGUGUGUCUCUGUGUGUGGUUUGUUGUCACUGAGGUGUCGUGUCCCCUGCCCUUUGGUCAUAGCAUCCAAAGUGAGGGGAGAAAGAUGGGCCUGGAGGUAACUGGUGUUCUUAGUGCCUCCAUCAGUUGCAAAUGAUCUCAGCAGCAGACGUCAGGUGUGGUGAUCACGGGCCAUGAAUCCUUCCUCUCCUGGCCUCAAAUGUUGUUUCAGCUUUGCAGUAGACAAAGGCAGCAGGUUUGGAGUCACAUUAUACAUCUAAUUUACACUGUAUCUAUUGCAUGUCAUUGUGGAAAAAACUGUUAAUUCAUUGACCAUUCUAAUUAGAUAAUUGAUACAUGUUUGGGCAACAACAAUUUGGUUUAAGUCUCUUAAAUAUGAGCAUUGAACUGUCUUAUAUCAUUCAAAAUUAAACAUGUUUGGAUUUUUGCCCACUGGUUCGACCAAACACGCAUUUAAAAACAUUGCUUUAGGAAUUCUGCAUUAUUUUGUUGAUAUCUUGAGAAUAAUUGAGUUAAUCAAGACAUGUGCAGAUGAAUUUCUAAUAUAACCAAAGGUUAGUUGCAGCCCAACUAAUGCUAUUUAUAGUCAAGUUUGAUGUUGAAAUGAGCUAUUCAUGUCAAACGAUAGAAAAUAUCACUAUUUUUAUUGAUGUCAUUUGUCAAGUAAAAAUGUUACAUUUGGCUAUGUCUGACAAAAAGUCAUUAUAUAAAUAAACAAACAUUGUUAUUUUUGUCUGUCCCUUAAACCAGAUAUGGUAGACUAGAUUUAUGUUUUUUUUUUAUAUAUUCCCUUUUAAAUUAUCCGACUUCAUUUGUCAAGUACUCUAAAGCAGACUCUGGAAUUUGAUCUAUUAACCAUUUCUCAAUUGAUUUCCCAGAAAUUGUAUGAUAUUACGAUAUACCUAUGAAAUGUAAAUAAAUUAAAAGAAUAUGAAAGACUAUUUUACCUGUACAGUAAAAAAACAACAGCUUUAUUUCACACAGCCGGGCUCCAUUCUGCUGUGAAGCUCUUUAUUGGCCCCCAGACGGCUCCGCUCUAUGAGAGAAGCUCUUGGACUGUGUGGUGGAGCUGCUGCAUUCUGCACUCGUGGCUCAGCUCUGCUUUUCCCUUAAUGUGCCUUUAAAAUGACUGCUUGUGGAGCCCCUUUGCUUCAAAAUCAAAUUUAUAUAUAGGCCUUUUAUAUUUUUGGAUACUUUUAUUCAUUCAUUUACAUUUAUCACAUAAUAAUGUGAUGUUUUUUUUUUUUCUUUAUUUCAUGUUAAUAGAAUCUAUUUUAUCCAAUGAAACCAUACCUUAAAAGACGUCACUCUGGUGGCCACUUUUUUUAAUUAAUUAAAAAUAAAGUUGUUAGAAAUAACAGACAUUACUUUCAAUUCUGCCAUAGAGGUCAGCAGUAUGACAAGAUACUAUAGGAGGUAAU